ACAAACGCUGGCGGCGUGUAUUAGGCAUGCAAGUCGCACGAUCACUUCGGUGAUAGUGGCGGACGGGUGAGUAACACGUGGGUAACCUGCCUCGUAGUGGGGAAUAACUCGCCGAAAGGCGAGCUAAUACCGCAUAUUACUCCCGGUGAAAGUCCGGGAAGUAAAAGCUCCGGCGCUACGAGAGGGGCUCGCGGCCGAUUAGCUAGUUGGUGGGGUAAAGGCCUACCAAGGCGACGAUCGGUAGCUGGUCUGAGAGGAUGGUCAGCCACACGGGGACUGAGAUACGGCCCCGACUCCUACGGGAGGCAGCAGCUAAGAAUCUUGCGCAAUGGGCGAAAGCCUGACGCAGCAACGCCGCGUGGGGGACGAAGGCCCUCGGGUCGUAAACCCCUUUUGCGAGGGAAGAAGUUCUGACGGUACCUCGCGAAUAAGACACGGCUAACUACGU
RNAcentral lists this ribosomal RNA (448 nucleotides) under uncultured bacterium. RNAcentral's name for it is "bacterial SSU rRNA". It matches the Rfam family "Bacterial small subunit ribosomal RNA", at positions 29 to 506 of the family's 1533-position model. The record is from RNAcentral.